Molecule: long non-coding RNA, 536 nt
Organism: Cyprinodon tularosa
Lineage: Eukaryota; Metazoa; Chordata; Actinopteri; Cyprinodontiformes; Cyprinodontidae
Exons: 2
Source: RefSeq, a predicted model, not a curated record
CUUUACUUCCUGUUUUCACGAACACGUUGCGGUCUUUUUGCACUCUUGAACACGAGCUAGAGAGUCUGUGAGACUAGGUCUCUUGCGGUGCUCUUGCUGAAACCUCUUCUUGUGGAAAGGAAUACGAGCUAGAGAGGCUGUGUGACUAGGUCCCUUGCGGUGCUCGUGCUGAAACCUCAACUUGGCUAGGUUUUUUCUGAUGGUUAAGAAAGCUGCGAAUCGGAUUCCUGGAUACCUGAUGUUCUCUGGAAGGGGAUGGCGAGCCUGUACCCAGAACUGAACCGAACUCUCAUCUGAAGAUCCCUCUUCAGAAGAUCCUCAUCCUCACGUGUUAACAAAGUGGUAACAACUCACACUGACGGAGAGGAAAAGAACUAAACUAUAAAAGGCCUUGACUGACUAAAAAAAAAAACCAAACAAACACUGAGCUCAGGGACUGGGGUUUUGUUUUCUGUUGCCGGCUUAUUGUUAUUGAAAUUGUAAAUGUUCUAUAUUUUUUCUAUUUUGCUUAUCAAUACAAUUAUUAUUGUUGCGCA